This 274-nucleotide ribosomal RNA is filed under the name uncultured bacterium. Its description in RNAcentral is "partial 16S ribosomal RNA". It matches the Rfam family "Bacterial small subunit ribosomal RNA", at positions 523 to 796 of the family's 1533-position model. The record is from RNAcentral.
CUACGAAGGGGGCUAGCGUUGUUCGGAAUUACUGGGCGUAAGGCGCGCGUAGGCGGAUUGGUCAGUUAGGGGUGAAAUCCCAGGGCUUAACCCUGGAACUGCCUCUAAUACUGCCAGUCUUGAGUUCGGGAGAGGUGAGUGGAAUUCCUAGUGUAGAGGUGAAAUUCGUAGAUAUUAGGAAGAACACCAGUGGCGAAGGCGGCUCACUGGCCCGAUACUGACGCUGAGGCGCGAAAGCGUGGGGAGCAAACAGGAUUAGAAACCCUAGUAGUCC